AACCAUAGAAACCUGCGGAGUACCUGCGGCAGGAUCAUUACAGAGUUGCAAAACUCCCUAAACCAUUGUGAACGUUACCUAAACCGUUGCUUCGGCGGGCGGCCCGGGUCCUUCCCGGCGCCCCUCGGCCCUCGCGGGCGCCCGCCGGAGGUAAACCAAACUAUUGCAUUGUAUGGCCUCUCUGAGUCUUCUGUACUGAAUAAGUCAAAACUUUCAACAAUGGAUCUCAGAUCGGAAGAG
Molecule: unclassified non-coding RNA, 240 nt
Filed under: soil metagenome
Description: partial contains 5.8S ribosomal RNA, internal transcribed spacer 2, and large subunit ribosomal RNA
Source: RNAcentral